UGCCAGACUCCUACGGGAGGCAGCAGUGGGGGAUAUUGCACAACGGGGGGAACCCUGAUGCAGCGACGCCGCGUGGGUGAAGGAGCGUUUCGGCGCGUAAAGCCCUAUCGGCAGGGAAGAAGGAGGACGGUACCUGACUAAGAAGCCCCGGCUAACUACGUGCCAGCAGCCGCGGUAAUACGUAGGGGGCAAGCGUUAUCCGGGUUUACUGGGUGUAAAGGGGGCGCAGACGGCAGCGCAAGCCAGGAGUGAAAGCCCGGGGCCCAACCCCGGGACUGCUCUUGGAACUGCGCGGCUGGAGUGCAGGAGGGGCAGGCGGAAUUCCUGGUGUAGCGGUGAAAUGCGUAGAUAUCAGGAGGAACACCGGUGGCGAAGGCGGCCUGCUGGACUGCGACUGACGUUGAGGCCCGAAAGCGUGGGGAGCAAACAGGAUUAGAUACCCGGGUAU
This 448-nucleotide ribosomal RNA is filed under the name uncultured bacterium. RNAcentral's name for it is "partial 16S ribosomal RNA". It matches the Rfam family "Bacterial small subunit ribosomal RNA", at positions 329 to 793 of the family's 1533-position model. The record is from RNAcentral.